Non-coding RNA from Pelobates cultripes (western spadefoot toad), 157 nucleotides. The record is from the annotation of a GenBank genome assembly. NCBI's taxonomy places the organism in Eukaryota, Metazoa, Chordata, Amphibia, Anura, Pelobatidae.
GCUGACACAUUCCAGCCAAUCAGCAGCAGACCCUCCCUUCCCGACCCUCCCACCUCCUGGACAGCAUCCAUUUUGAAGCUGCAUUCUUAGUGAGCUGUCCAGGAGGUGGGAGGGUCUGGGAGGGAGGGUCUGCUGCUGAUUGGCUGGAAUGUGUCAG